UGUCUUUUUGAAAAUAAUAUAAAGUCUAAUCUGCCCACUGAUUAAGUUAAUUGAAGGGCUGCAGUAUAUUGACUGUACAAAGGUAGCAUAAUCAUUAGUCAUUUAAUUGGUGACUUGUAUGAAGGAUUGGAUGAGAUAUAAUCUGUCUCUUAGUUAGUUAUAAAAUUUAAUUUUUUAAUUAAAAAGUUAAAAUAAGUUAAAAAGACGAGAAGACCCUAUAGAGUUUUAUAAAUAGGUUAAUUAAGAUUAUUUGUUAGUAUAAAAUUAAAAUUGAUUUAUUUAUUAUAUUGGGGUGAUAAAAAAAUAUAAAUAACUUUUUUUAUAUUAUAACAUAUAUAAGUGAAUAAAUGAUCCAAUAUUAUUGAUUAAAAGAAAAAAUUACCUUAGGGAUAACAGCGUAAUUUUUUUUUUUAGUUCAUAUAAGAAAAAGAGUUUGCGACCUCGAUGUUGGAUUAAGAUAAAAGUUAAAUGCAGAAG
RNAcentral lists this ribosomal RNA (477 nucleotides) under Sesamia mesosticha. RNAcentral describes it as "partial 16S large subunit ribosomal RNA". Lineage: Eukaryota; Metazoa; Arthropoda; Insecta; Lepidoptera; Noctuidae. The record is from RNAcentral.